GCCUUCUUAGCUCAGUGGUAGAGCGCGUCACUAGUAAUGACGAGGCCGCCAGUUCAAUUCUGGUAGGAGGCA
Molecule: non-coding RNA, 72 nt
Organism: Decorospora gaudefroyi
Lineage: Eukaryota; Fungi; Ascomycota; Dothideomycetes; Pleosporales; Pleosporaceae
Source: the annotation of a GenBank genome assembly